UUUAUCAGCCCCACGUGAGGGCGAGCAGUGCACAGUGAUGCAGUUGGUUGCUCCUCGUAGUGCUUCACACACCCUGCAUGAGCUACUAAAGCAAAUACAGUAGUACCACGCCGAUUAGAAACUCCAACUGCAACUCAAUAACAAGAUCCACUCACAGUCACAAUGUCGGUGCGAGUGAUGGCGUUCGUUCUAUUUAUGUUUCUUGGUGUUUUUCUAAUUCUCGGAUCCAAUUCAAAUGCCUACAGCUUGACUGGCCAUGGCCCAGGAUCAUCGCUUGUAUCGAAAUCUCUACGGACAGCCCGGCAUUUCAUGAUGGCACCGCAACAAACGGCACUCCUCUUGCCGGCUCGUUUUAGCGAUUUUCGGCGUCGGAGACGAACGAGUCUCAGCCACGUUGUCCGCAACAAACAGGACUGCUUGUGUCACCUGCUGGUGCGCUAUGAGCGCAACAACUGCUGCAGGUUGCGGGAGCGGUGCUGCUGAAGCGGCCGUACUGCGUGACCUGCGCGCCCCGCACCACCCCUCACACCCGCGUCUCAUCAGGCACUGACGGGACCACGCGCUUCUCGUCGCACAAGAGUUCUUUUUCGGUUAUUUUCAAUCGGAUCUUGUGUUAUUUUGUUUUCUUAACAUAAAUUUUGCCAAGAAUUGAUGUUCAUUGGUUUACGCUUGACGACCGGCCGCAAGUUAUUGUAUCAUAUUUCAAGAUGAUGCUCAUUAAAAUGUGUCAAAAGUGUUCGAGCUUAUUUCUGAGUCUCGAUCCGUGAGAUCCAUCUCGAUAUCCGCCAUGACACCGAAUCAUGAGAUCUCUUCAUGUGAUCGAUAUCUAGAUUCAAGAUUCGUCGAAGGAGAAGCAAUACGAGAAUUACCAGCUGCAAAGCCGACCUGAAGAGCAACUUUCUGUGUGCACCUGACGAUUAUUUUCAACUUUAAAUGGUUAUUCGUAUUUUUUUAGAAAGUUUUUCUGCCUCGAAGUUGGGAUUCAAAAAAUACUAAUAAUUUUCUUAUACAGAAUUUAAAAUUACGUGGAACCCAAGACCAUGAAUUUGGCAAUCUGCGACCAUGUCAAUAAAUGAAGGCAAAUUUUGACGUGUUUUGAAGUUUUGAUUGUGACGCUUUGAAUAUUUGGCGCCGCACUCUUGCUUCGCUGUCACAUCGAACGAUCCGAUCGACAUCGAAAUGCGACGACUUCCGUUGGCGGUGCUCCUGAUGAUAUCGCAGCUAGGCCAAAAUGAGACACCUGAAAAUAGGAAACAUGUUUCUAUGAGACAUAUAAUUGAUCUGAUAUUUCCCUAUUCACACUUAAUUUGACGAAAUGUAUUGGGAACAUGAGAUUAUCAAAUUUAGAGUUGUAAGUUGCAUAACAUGCUAUACAUAGGUUGGCAAUUUGAAUCAACUAAUUUCCCAAUAUUGCAACCAAUGCCUCGGUUGAAAUUUGAUGUCUCAAACAGGAAUCAAUUAAAGUCCCACGUAUUGCCGCGUGACCAAAGCUUAAAAUUAUUUUGCUCCUGCCCUAUAUUAGCUUCUAGCGACUAGCGUGCAAAAAAAACUGUUGUAAAUACUUAGAAGAAAAGUAAUCAGAAUCACAUUAAGGAUGUGCAUUUAACGCUCCAUCGGUCAUGUACAAAGUGAAUCAAACCCCAGUGCAGUUUUGGAUGAAUUUAUUAUGGCGCGGUCGUACGCUUGUUCACCGAGGUUCAUGAGCGGUCGAUGUAGGUCAAGGCUCUCAAAUGCUAGUUGUAGCGCCGCAGGGCUGUCUUGUUAAUAAAAUUUAGAGCAUG
Molecule: long non-coding RNA, 1781 nt
Organism: Hyalella azteca
Lineage: Eukaryota; Metazoa; Arthropoda; Malacostraca; Amphipoda; Hyalellidae
Exons: 2
Source: RefSeq, a predicted model, not a curated record